UACUGAGUAAAUCACACGAAGGUAUCUGC
This 29-nucleotide non-coding RNA is filed under the name Homo sapiens (human). The record is from RNAcentral. Lineage: Eukaryota; Metazoa; Chordata; Mammalia; Primates; Hominidae.